Molecule: ribosomal RNA, 459 nt
Filed under: uncultured bacterium
Lineage: Bacteria
Description: partial 16S ribosomal RNA
Rfam family: Bacterial small subunit ribosomal RNA
Source: RNAcentral
CCUACGGGAGGCAGCAGUGAGGAAUAUUGGUCAAUGGCCGGGAGGCUGCACCCGCCAAGUCGCGUGAGGAAAGACGGCCUUACGGGUUGUAAUCCUCUUUUGUCAGGGAGCAAGGUGCAGGUCGGGACCUGCUGUGCGAGUACCUGAUGCAAAAGCAUCGGCUAACUCCGUGUCAGCCGCCGCGGUAAUACGGGGUAUGCGAGCGUUAUCCGGAUUUAUUGGGUUUAAAGGGUGCGCAGGCGGUGGCACAAUUCAGCGGUAAAGUCGGGGGGCGCAACCCCGCUCCGCCGUUGAAACUGGCGUUCUUGAGUGAGCGAGAAGUAUGCGGAAUGCGUGGUGUAGCGGGGAAAUGCAUAGAUAUCACGCAGAACUCCGAUUGCGAAGGCAGCAUACCGGCGCUCAACUGACGCUCAUGCACGAAAGCGUGAGUAUAGAACAGGAUGAGAUACCCCUGUAGUC